This 3173-nucleotide small RNA is filed under the name Histoplasma capsulatum. RNAcentral describes it as "hypothetical RNA". RNAcentral also lists the same sequence under 1 other name. Lineage: Eukaryota; Fungi; Ascomycota; Eurotiomycetes; Onygenales; Ajellomycetaceae. The record is from RNAcentral.
ACCACUGCCAAUCUACCCACCGCUGCCAAUCUACCCACCGCUGCCAAUCUACCCGCCGCUGCCAAUCUACCUACCACUGCCAACCUAUCUAUCACUGCUAAUCUAUCGCUGCUAAUCUAUCGCUGCUAAUCUAUCGCCACCAACCUACCUAUCGCUGCCAACCUACCUACCGCUGCCAACCUAUCUAUCACUGCUAAUCUAUCACUGCUAAUCUAUCGCUGCUAAUCUAUCGCCACCAACCUACCUAUCGCUGCCAACCUACCUACCGCUGCCAACCUAUCUAUCACUGCUAAUCUAUCACUGCUAAUCUAUCGCUGCCAACCUACCUACCGCUGCCAACCUACCUACCGCUGCCAACCUAUCUAUCACUGCUAAUCUAUCGCUGCUAAUCUAUCGCUGCUAAUCUAUCGCUGCUAAUCUAUCGCUGCUAAUCUAUCACUGCUAAUCUAUCGCUGCUAAUCUAUCGCUGCUAAUCUAUCGCUGCUAAUCUAUCGCCGCCAACCUACCUACCGCUGCCAACCUGCCAACCUAUCUAUCGCUGCCAACCUAUAUAGGGUAAAUCAUGGUCCCAUUUGGUCCCAUUUUGUAAAAUGGGACCAAAUGGGACCAGGAUCACUAAUUUAUUAGUAAAACAUGAUCUGGGACUAGAUUUAUAAUAUAAACAGUGUAAAGUGACUAAUUUGCUAAACACUAUAUGGGACCAGGACUAAGAUAUCUAAUAAUGGGACUGAGGAAAAAUUUGGUCCCAGUCCCAUGCAUGGUCACACAGCCAGUCUAAGCCAGCCAGAUUAUAUAGAAGGAGAAGGGAAUUACAAUCAGCUGAAGAAGUGGAAACAACAAUCUGAUUGAUAGAUUGCUUGAUUUGUCUGAUUUACUUGAUUUGAUUGUUUGAUUUGAUUUUGCAAUUUCAUGUAUAAUAGGAUUUCUAGAUAGAUAGAUAGAUAUCUGUACAGCUACUAGUCUGAGGGGAGGUGUUGGCCUUAGGCUGCCUAUCACGGACUAGCGCACCGCACAUAUAUGCCUCAGCUGCCUACAUGCUAAUACAACCACUUAGACGUCCCACAAUUUAUAAUAUAAACAGUGUAAAGUGACUAAUUUACUAAACACUAUAUGGGACCAGGACUAAGAUAUCUAAUAAUAGGACUGAGAAAAAAUUUGGUCCCAGUCCCAUGCAUGAUCACACGGCCAGUCUAGUUGCAUCUCCACCAGAUGAGGGAGGAUGUGGUUCCCCACUAUGCUGCAGCUGAUGGUUGCAGUAUAUAGAUGGUGGAUUGGGUGGCCACACCCGCUGUGAGCCGAGCCACACCACCACACCCACGGGUAUAUAUAUCACUAUGAGCGCAACCAUUUAACAAAUGGUUACGUUGGCUUUUUGCUAUGGAUAACCUAGUGGUCAUAGUGCUAUCUUAUCACAGAGGGAUUAAGUAUGAGAUGUAUGCAUAUGGUAAUUGGAUACAAUGGCAUAGUGGGAGGUUAAACUGGAAUUUUUUGUUUCUGUUUCUGUUUCUGUUUCUUUUGUUUUUUCCUUUUCUCGUCUUUCCAUAUAUCAUCGAUGAACUUUGAUUUGAUUUUGCAAUCUGCGUUCUGGCAAAUAUCACAUAAUCUCCAUUUGCCAUUUUCCUAUCUACAGCUAUCAACACAUGCUCCCCUGACCACGGGGAUCCCCGUCAUUUCUUUGAAAAACGUCAUUUCCUUCCUCCGAGUUUUUUUCGUCUCUUGUCCACUAACUUUUCUUAUUUCAUUUUGAGUUUUCGGUUGUCGAACCGAGUCCAUGGACAUUAUGUAACGCCCCAUGUUUAGCUUUCAUCUAGGUAUAUACAUCCAUAUAUAUUUUCCUGACCUCUCACUUUUUUAGCCCUCCCGCCCUAUCGAACAGCCAUAUGUAUUGUGCAUGUGUAAAGGUCGUGUCCUAUUGAAUGAAUCACUGGGGCCCAAGGACAUCAAGCGUGUUAUUUAUGCGUCGACAUCGGAUCUAUCAAUUUCUGCAUUUCCUCCUCUCCUUGCGCUGCGCGUAGUUGCCAUCCGUGUUCUUUCUAAUGCGCUGGAGCCAUUCGAUUUUCGAAGAAGUCCAUAAAUAACGACGGCGGAAUGGCUUCACAUAUAAUCCCAUUUCUUGGCCAGAGCGAUGGACAUAUCAUUUAUUCCGGUGAUGCCCAUUUGUCAAGCCGCAUUCCAGAGAACAGCAUACUGUCUCCGGAGCCCUUUAACUAUAAUAGCCGCAAUUGUGAUGUAACAGACGUAACUAAGCCCGGAAAUCCCUAUCGAAUCACCGACCCCUUCCAUACCCCGGCUGCUGAAACCCAAGAGGAAGCGGGGGCGGUGUAGCACCAGGCGGACCUGCUGCAGACGGGGUUGGACCAAAGCCGGCUGGUGGCGGCUGCUGACCGAAGCGGGGAGGGGGAACAAAUCCCUGCGGUGGGGGACCGCCAUAUCCCGCUUGAGAUGGAGGAGGCCUGGCAGGCAGACCUGGAGGGGGAGCGGAAAGGGGUGGAGGUGGAUGAUGCGCAUGGGGCAGUGGUCGGUGGUGUUGAAGUGGAUGUUGGGGUGGGUGAGGAUGGGGAUGGGGAUGUUGUUGUUGGUGUUGUGCUGGUGGCAUUUGCUGAUUGUGAUGGUAGCCGCCGCCGUUGCCGAUGGGGAUUCCCCGCCCACCGCCAAAAUCUGGUGGACCACCAGCAGCGGCAACAGGGUUUAUUCCUCGAGCAGCGGCAACCGCAUUAGUGCCCUCGCCGUCAACCAUUGGCGGUUGGGGCAUUUGAUGCGGAUGCACGCCUGGCCCGCCUCCGACAAGUUGCGGAGGCAAGGGCUGUGCUUGGGGCUGCACGUUGUGUUUUCGCGCCUGGGCUGCGAGCAUGCGUUCGGCCUGGUCGCCAUGUCGUUCACCCUUACCAUCCUUUUUGUACGCGUAUUGGACAGAGACUUCCUUGUUCAUGAGGUAUUGGCCAUUCAUAUUUGCGAUGGCGUCGUCCGAGGCUUCGAAGUUGGAGAAGGAGACGAAGCCGUAACCCUUAGAAAGGUUCGCAUCAUCUCGUGCAAUCUAACACCGUGACUCUUAGUUUACUUAAAUAAAUGAGCGGCAGCCGGAAUAAUGCAGGUAACAUACCUUUGGAGCAGAUAUAAGACUCCCGAAGCGGCUGAACGUAUCAUACAACACCUGUUCUGUAACCAUUGGGUCA